This 264-nucleotide ribosomal RNA is filed under the name uncultured archaeon. RNAcentral's name for it is "partial 16S ribosomal RNA". It matches the Rfam family "Archaeal small subunit ribosomal RNA", at positions 717 to 982 of the family's 1478-position model. The record is from RNAcentral.
ACACGACUACAUUAGAUACCCCUGUAGUCCCAGCCGUAAACUAUGCGCGUUAGGUGUAUCGGUGACCACGAGUUACCGAGGUGCCGAAGGGAAACCGUGAAACGUGCCGCCUGGGAAGUACGGUCGCAGGGCUGAAACUUAAAGGAAUUGGCGGGGAGCACCACAACAGGUGGAGCCUGCGGUUUAAUUGGACUCAACGCCGGGAAGCUCACCGGAUAGGACAGCAGAAUGAUUGCCGGGCUGAAGACCCUGCAUGACUAGCUG